RNAcentral lists this ribosomal RNA (1104 nucleotides) under Triticum aestivum (bread wheat). Its description in RNAcentral is "partial small subunit ribosomal RNA". Lineage: Eukaryota; Viridiplantae; Streptophyta; Magnoliopsida; Poales; Poaceae. The record is from RNAcentral.
AUGGUGUCACUUGCUAUGGUCAUACUUGGCUUAUCUCUCUGGAAAAGAAAACACAAGUGCAAAUCUAUCUCUCUGCCAUCAUUUGCUGCAAAAUUUCCCAAAGUUUCUUUCAAUGAUCUAGCCAGAGCAACACAGGGAUUCUCAACAUCCAACUUAAUUGGCAGAGGGAGAUACAGUUCUGUAUACCAAGGAAAACUAGUGGAGGCCAAAAAUGAGGUGGCAGUAAAAGUCUUCAACCUAGAGACAAGAGGAGCGCAAAAGAGCUUCAUUGCAGAAUGUAAUGCACUGAGAAAUGUGCGGCACCGUAAUCUGGUCCCUAUCCUAACUGCGUGCUCGAGCAUUGAUUCUAAUGAUAAUGAUUUCAAGGCCCUAGUGUAUGAGCUCAUGCCACAAGGAGACUUACAUAAACUACUAUACUCAACUCAAGACCGUGAAAGCUCUUCAGAUUUGAAAUUUAUUACAUUGGCUCAAAGGAUAAGCAUUGUGGUGGAUGUAGCGGAUGCAAUGGCGUACCUCCACCACAACAACCAAGGAACAAUUAUUCAUUGUGAUCUAAAGCCUAGCAACAUUCUUUUGGAUGACAAUAUGACAGCUCAUGUCGGAGACUUUGGCCUGGCAAGAUUCAAAGCUAGUUCCACAACGCCGUCUCUUGGUAACUCAAGCUCUUCUCUCGGUGCACUGAUGGGAACUAUCGGAUACGCUGCUCCAGAAUAUGCAGGGGGCGGUCAACUUUCAACUGCCGCAGAUGUUUACAGCUUCGGUGUCGUUCUCCUCGAGAUAUUCAUUCGGAGAAGGCCAACCGGCGACAUGUUUAAGGAUGGGCUGAGCAUUGUGAAGCUUACAGGGAUCAGCUUCCCUGGUAGGGUAUUGGAGAUUGUCGAUCCCGAGCUACUACAGGAGUUGGAGCCUUGCCAAGAAACUCCAGUGGCCAUGAAGGAAGAUGGUAUGCACACUUUGCUAUCUAUGCUAAACGCUGGCCUUUGCUGCACCAAGGAAACUCCGGGUGAACGAAUCAACAUGCAGGAGGUUGCUGCCAAGUUACGUCGAAUCAGGGAUGAUUAUCUCAGAAGCUGUUCUGUUGCUUCAGUAGUAUUAGCUACUUAA